UGCAAACCCUGUACAUCUCACCA
This 23-nucleotide non-coding RNA is filed under the name Gallus gallus (chicken). Lineage: Eukaryota; Metazoa; Chordata; Aves; Galliformes; Phasianidae. The record is from RNAcentral.